GCUGGGCAUGAUGGCUCAUGCCUGUAAUCCCAGCACUUUGGGAGGCCGAGGUGGGUGGUUCAUCAGAGGUCAGGAGUUUAAGACCAGCCUGGCCGACAUGGUGAAACCCCAUCUCUA
Unclassified non-coding RNA from Callithrix jacchus (white-tufted-ear marmoset), 117 nucleotides. It matches the Rfam family "Metazoan signal recognition particle RNA". Rfam says of the family: The signal recognition particle (SRP) is a universally conserved ribonucleoprotein. The record is from Ensembl. Lineage: Eukaryota; Metazoa; Chordata; Mammalia; Primates; Cebidae.